AAUGUUCAGAAUCCCCCAAUUGCCUAAACAAAAUUUUUUUUCACUUUGUUUAAAUCAGGAUCCAAAAAAAGGUUCAUCUCUUCCCCUGUCUCCUUUGUAAUUUAUUGCUGCAGAAACCAGGUCAUUUGUCCUGUAGAGCUUCCCAUGGUCUGGAUUUUGUGAUCACCUCCUUGUGGUGGGUUCAGCAUGUUCCUUUGCAAGGUUAUUUAUUUGUUAUCUACCAGUUUCUUGUAAAUUGGUGGUUAGAUCUAGAGACUUGGUCAGACUCAGGUUCAGUUUUGUGGCAGAAAUCCUUCCUAGGUGGUGCUGUGCGUUUCCAUCAGAGACAGGGAGAGUCUGGUUCCUUUCUGUGAGGUUAGCAGCUUAGAAUCAUUGCUGAGACCCCAUUGACAGAUGCCUAAUGAAUUUUAAGGAAUGCAUGUGGCUGCAAUGGCUGUCUCUGAGUAGUACAUUCAGAAAAGCAUUUCCUGGAAAAUGUGUUGUUUGUUUGUUAUUUCCCAGUCAUGGGGACAGCCCUGGAAGUCUGCCCUGCUGGCUGCACUGUGGGCUAAUCCAGGGCAUUUCAGGGAAGCCACCCGCCCUGGGCUUGGCGUGUCUUGGUCAGCUCUGCGGGGUGUUAUGGCUGUUCCUUCCCACCAGAGGACACUGUGGCUCCAGGACUUCACGUGGUUCCCAGCCAGUCUUGCAGCUUCAAGGCCUCUCAGAAGGCCAAGCCUUUGGUGUGCAUUUAUUAGGCACCAACUAUGUGCCUCUCAUGGCAAGAGGAGAGAUGAAAGAGAUCAAACACAAAGUCCUGUGGUGGUGUUUUCCAAGGUAGUUUCUUUGUAUUUUCCUUUAAAAAUAAACAAACAGAGGUACUUCUCCAUCUGUGGGAAACCACUGUAGCCCCCACAGGGUGGCUGUCUCCUGCUGUAAACUGCAAAUUUGGUGACUUGGUGUUGGAUUGUUUUAAAAAACAACUGCAAUAUAUGUGGUUUUUGGAAUGUGAAUGUAUCCAAGAAAGAUGCCAAAGUGUAUUCAUCUCCGAAAUAAUUUAUUCAUUUAUUCAACACCACAUAUUGACUAUCCAGGGGUAAAAGGGAGGGGAACUGAGGCUUACUGAGAGCUGCUCUGUCCCAUCCUUUUUACUGACAUCCUAGCAAGAUGUGUCAUAUUAGCCUUGUUUAAAUCCCAGGAAAGUGAGUCUUACUGAGCCUGAGUGAACCAACUGGCUGAAGGCUAUCCUGCCAAAUGCAAGUCAAGCCUUGUCCCUAUGGCCUCAUAGUUCAGCCCCGGCAGCACGACUGAACUCACAGCACGACCUGUGUAAUUGACUGAAUGCGGUCAGUUACAUGAAGGAGAGAGAAUGACAGCUGGCAGUUGGGAGAAUGGGUGAACUGGCUUCAGCUAGGAAAGAAGAUAGAGGUGGCGGGUGUCUAAAGAAGCAGGGCUUGGAGUGUUCGGAGAGACCCAAUCCUGAACGCCACUGCAACCUCAGGCAAACACAGCUUCAAGGUUCUGGGAAGAGAGGACUAGCGUGGGUGUGAUUCAAGCCACCACCCUCCUCCAAACGAGCCCGAGGAUAAUGAAUGAGCCAUCAGCUAGCGCCUUUGCUCUCCAAUGAAAGGACCUCCCCCUGCAGACAGUCCCUCUGCAAAUACAGUCAUGCCCCAGGAACCAUCUGGCAAAUGUGCCUGUUCCUUCAGCAUUUCUGGUAAUUCCCUGACUUGCAGCCCCUUUUUCUUGGAUAUAAAUUGUUGCAGCAAGCCAAGCAGGCAGAAUGCUUACCGGCGCUUCACAGGCUUUCCCUGAGCCUGGUUAACCCCGUGGCUUGCAGCCUAUGAGGCUGCUCCCAGCUAAUGGAUGCCUCGGAUGCCUGUGUUUCUCCUCUCUGCUGUUCUUGUGUGUUUUGGAGUAUGCCGAGGCAGCUUGUGAGCUGCAGACCAGAGCUGCAGCAAACCAGAUUGAGAGGCCAGGGGGAAAAGCGCAUUUCCGUUGCAGGACGUCCUUCACGGAGAAGGGACAGGUUAACUCCAUCUCUCUGCAGAGGACUUGGACAGCUCCCCGAGGAGCCACAACAGGCUGCCACAGCUGUAGGACAGAUCACGUGCUCUGGCUGUGCACGGGAGGAUGCCCAGCAAACCCAGAUUGCCCACGCCAGCCACUGGGCCCCAUUUUGCACAGAGCCACGUUCCUCCUCUAACCCAGCCUGAUGGUGUGCAAAGCUGGAGAAUUGUGGAUCACCUUGGGGUCACUUGAGCCAGCCCCCUAUUUCCAACCUGCUUCACUGAUUCUAGUUCAGAGGAGGCAGGAGAUAGAAGGGAAGACUCUCAUUAGUCUCCCAUCUCCUUGGUGAUGUGCUUCAUGGACUGGGAGGCCAAGCUGAGCUAUCAACCAUAAGCCCUCUCACCCCUAUCCAAGGAGUACUGGAUUGUUCCAAAGGAGUGGGAGAGGAAGCAAUCAAUGCAAAGACUCCCAGAGUGUCACCAUCACCCUAACAACCAGCGGGCAGUUUCUAUGCAGAUUCACACCUUCCUGCCUUAGAACAUGCAGUUCUGUCUGUCUUGAAUGCAUCAAGCCUCAUCUGCCUGGCGAAUUCCUACUUUGUCUUUUAAGAUUCAGCUCCAAUAUCACCCACUUGGACCCUCUUUCCUCAUACAAGGAAGAUAAAAUAUAGAGCUCAUUGAGGGCAGAGACUACGUCUCAUUCAUCUCGUCUCUGGAGGCUCAAUCUGUAAAGAUGUUUGCCGGCAGUGUUUUGGAAGGGAAAAUCAGAGAUGGCGGGAUUUAGAUAUGGAUUCUCCUACUGAAAUCUCCUGGUCCCACCCACUUGUUUCACAAAAGACAAAAUCAAGGUAAGGAAACCCUGCCUUCCCCAGGGUCACAGGGCUAAAUGGUGACAGAGCUGGGAUAACAACCCAGGUCUUCUGACUCCCGGGCCUGCUGGCAAGUACGCUCACAUCCUGAUCUCUAUUUCCCCGGUCCAGCCUGGGUGGAAGGGCUGAUGGGAAAUGAACAGGCUUCUGGGCCAGCGGCAAGAGGAAGUAGGGUUGAGUGAUGCCAGCUGAAUUUAAGAGCUGGAAGAGAUGUCAGAGGCCAUCUAGUCUGAACUCUCCAUUUACAGAUGAGAAAACGGAGCCCCACAGGGUUGAGGUGCUUUGCCCAAGGUUACACAGCAAGCUGGUGGCAGAACUAGGACUAGAAUGUAGGCCUCCUAAUUCCCAGGAAAGCUGAGAGUUACACUCCCACCCCAGAAACAUGACUGCCAAGCCCUCCUGACCAGCUGCUAGCCGAGGGGUAGGUCCCUGGAGUCCCUGACUCUUACAGGCUUUCCUCUCCCUCUCGUGGUGGCACAGCAUUUAAGUAGGGUGCAUUCUGCAUAAAUAAUAAAGAAUGCUUCCCUUCCAGGGAGGGCGGCUGCGUCUGGGCGGGCAGUGUGGCAGAUGGUAUUUACAGUGUGCACUGAGCAGUUCUCACAUAGCCUCACUUGCGCCGUGCGGCUGAGAGAUGGAGGAAGCAGGUUUGAGUGCCCAUCGUCUCACUCCUCUGCCUGGUGUUUCCAGGCAGCUGCGGCUGCUGUGGCCGCCGCUGCCGCAUUUCUCUUCACGGCUGUCUCCCCAGCACUGUUGCCUCUUUCCGUGCUGGAUAUGGAGCUCCAGGAUGUUUUGCUGUUGCCGCUGCUGCUGCUACAUCCUCAUCAUCAGAAAGCCUGCCUCGUGGACCCCAAGGCAUUCUUCACGGGAACUCCUCAUGGGAGACGGUGCCGGAUUAAUUGACAUUCUUCCCCAACGGAGGCUGAGGAAGUCCUAGGGGGCCACACACUGGGCAGACUUCCCAGGAAUUCUGACCUCUGGGAGGCCUUCCUUAGGCCUGAAGAAGUAUAAAUAGCACAGGUUCAUUCAUUAAGCAAAUACUGUUUGUGAACCUUCGAUGUGCCAGGAAUUGUUCUAGGAGUCAAGGUAUUGCUAUGGGCAAACAAACCAAGUCCCUGCCCUCCAUGAACGUACACUCUAGUGGAAAGGUCUACCAUGGGCCUCGUGGCACAUGGCCCCUGGCCCUCCCAGAAUGUACAUUUCUUCCACUCUGCUCUUGCGAACACCCUCAUGCCUGGUGCAGUGUGGUGGUGAACAAGAGCAAACCUUUCUCCCUCCUUUGGGGACACUGAUUGCACCGUACCAUAAGAGGAACAAAGCUGAUAAACAUACCAAUGGCUUUUGCUCUAAAGCCAGAGACAUCCCCAAAGUUUCUGAGCCAUACAGCAGCCUGUAGCUACACAAGCCCCACUUGGGCACUCCGCUUUAGCCCCACCCAGCUGUCCUGGGAGAAAGUCACUGCAGACAGUGGUCCGGGCCAAGGCAUUUAACACAUCGGGAGCUUUUGUCUUUCCUUCUUGAAAUAAGAAAUGUGGUGAGAGGAGUGUAAAAUCAAACCUCCUCUGGGCUCAGGGAUGUUAGGAUCCCCCCUUGUAAAAUGGAGGCAGUUGUACUUGUCCUGCUCACCUCAAAAAGGCCGGCUUUUUGAGGAUGAAAUGAAAUGAUAAAUAUGGAAGUGUUUUCUAAUAAAGGCAGCAGGCAUAUAAUUGUAUUUUUAUUACGCAGAAGAAUCUUUUCUCCAUAACAUAAACUUGUUUCUUGUUGGGGGUUGAGAGUAAUAACUAUGUAAUUAGACUUUGUGUCAUAUCAAGAGACAU
This is a long non-coding RNA of Equus quagga, 4668 nucleotides long. RefSeq lists it as uncharacterized. The record is from RefSeq and is a predicted model, not a curated record. Lineage: Eukaryota; Metazoa; Chordata; Mammalia; Perissodactyla; Equidae. The transcript is spliced from 3 exons.